Molecule: ribosomal RNA, 445 nt
Filed under: uncultured bacterium
Lineage: Bacteria
Description: partial 16S ribosomal RNA
Rfam family: Bacterial small subunit ribosomal RNA
Source: RNAcentral
GUGAGGAAUAUUGCGCAAUGGAGGCAACUCUGACGCAGCCAUGCCGCGUGCAGGAAGAAGGCGCUACGCGUUGUAAUCUGCUUUUAACCGGGAAGAAACCCCAGGACGUGUCCUGGGUUGACGGUACCGGAGGAAUAAGCACCGGCUAACUUCGUGCCAGCAGCCGCGGUAAUACGAAGGGUGCAAGCGUUAUCCGGAUUCAUUGGGUUUAAAGGGUGCGUAGGCGGAGCGUUAAGUCAGUGGUGAAAUCCUGCAGCUUAACUGUAGACUUGCCAUUGAUACUGGCGCUCUUGAGUGCGCUUGAAGUGGGCGGAAUGUGCCGUGUAGCGGUGAAAUGCUUAGAUAUGGCACAGAACACCAAUUGCGAAGGCAGCUCACUAAGGCGAUACUGACGCUGAGGCACGAAAGCGUGGGGAUCGAACAGGAUUAGAAACCCCAGUAGUCC